Molecule: ribosomal RNA, 253 nt
Filed under: uncultured bacterium
Lineage: Bacteria
Description: partial 16S ribosomal RNA
Rfam family: Bacterial small subunit ribosomal RNA
Source: RNAcentral
UACGAAGGGGGCUAGCGUUGUUCGGAAUCACUGGGCGUAAAGGGCGCGUAGGCGGCCAAUCAAGUCGGGGGUGAAAGCCUGUGGCUCAACCACAGAAUUGCCUUCGAUACUGUUUGGCUCGAGACCGGAAGAGGUAAGUGGAACUGCGAGUGUAGAGGUGAAAUUCGUAGAUAUUCGCAAGAACACCAGUGGCGAAGGCGGCUUACUGGUCCGGUUCUGACGCUGAGGCGCGAAAGCGUGGGGAGCAAACAGG